CAUUGCCCUAGCAGCCUGUUGGGGGGGGUGGCGCAGCACCAAACACUGGGUACCCCCCUCUGGGCCCCACUCCCUGCACCCCACAACCCACUCCAGCUCAGGAGGAGGCCUCUCCCAGCGGACGAAGAAGCCCGGGAGCCGUGCGGGGGCGAAAUGGAGAUCCCUCUGGCUGCCAGGACUCUUCCAGCAGAAGCAUUUUCUCAUACAAAGGAUACUUAGGACAGACUAAUGGAAGUAAGGGCGCGAGUCUGGAAAAGCUGCAGUUUGAGCCAAGGGGCUGUUUCUGAAUAUGUCACAUUCAACUGGAUCGAUUGGAGCAGACCACGAAUGAAUAUCCAACAAAGCUAUACCUUAAAAGCGUAUUUACAAGAUAUGAUAUGU
Nannospalax galili (Upper Galilee mountains blind mole rat) is the source of this 381-nucleotide long non-coding RNA. RefSeq lists it as uncharacterized. The record is from RefSeq and is a predicted model, not a curated record. The transcript has 3 exons. Lineage: Eukaryota; Metazoa; Chordata; Mammalia; Rodentia; Spalacidae.